Long non-coding RNA from Brassica rapa (field mustard), 4256 nucleotides. RefSeq lists it as uncharacterized. The record is from RefSeq and is a predicted model, not a curated record. NCBI's taxonomy places the organism in Eukaryota, Viridiplantae, Streptophyta, Magnoliopsida, Brassicales, Brassicaceae.
UGAAGAAGCUUGGGACGGAACUGUUUGUGAAUAGGAAGAACGAUAUCGACUUUAAUUUCAUUGACGCCAAAUGAUUGGUGAUCACUUCCCCUGCCCCGUCCUAAUCUUACCGGAGGUAGUAAAGAGUCUUAAAAGGAGUGAGACAACAUUGAAAGUGAGGGCUAACAAAGGAAGUCCUGAAUUGAUUCCACCUGGAUAAAUGAGACUUCUGAAGGAUGCAACAACGUUAAUGUGGUUGCAGUGGAAGCUUGAGCAGUAGUCACAGUUGCAAACUUUUACAAGAGGAGACUUUUUUGGGAACUGGUAGCAGAGGAAGGCUCUCAAGAGGCUGUGAGCUUUUCAAACGUACUCGCCAAGGUAACAAAGAUUAUCAUUUCUUUUUCGUUUAGUUUACGUUUAAUUCUUGGAUAUUUUUCUUAAUACUUUUUUACUUUGCCAUUGGAAAAUAGUCAUGUUUACAUCAAUAAGAUGAAUCAGGUAAAUGAUUGUUGAUCUGAUCAAAAAGAUAAUAGAGAGCCAAUUUAUUUUUGAACAGUGGGGAAUCUUUAGCUUGAUUCAAUUCACAUGGAUGUGAACUUUGUUAUACCAAAUACAUAAAGAUAUUUUAAAUGGCGAGAUAAAAAGAGAAAUCAAAAACAGAACUAACGCUGAUAAAAAAACAUUUGCUCUGAUAAGACAAGGGAGAAGAAGAGUCUUUUAUGUAUCAGGUAUGCAUUCCAAGCUGUCUUGUAUGCCUUGUGGAGAGAAAGAAAUAAGCUAAAACAUGGUGAUCAGAUUAUGCCUUUGCCAGUCCUUAAAAGAGUUGUAGAGAAAGGGAUUCGUAAUAGAAUCAGUUUGGUGCGCAAAAGAGGAGUUAGAGGUAUGGAGGAGGUGAUGCAAUUCUGGUUUCUAUCUAGAUUAUAAUUAGCAUUUUGAUUUUAUUUUGAGUUGUAGAGGGCAAGAUACAUUGCAAAGAAGUAUGCACUUAAUGUAAUAAAGCUUUUUUUUAAAUAAAUUUAAUAUUCAUUCAAAAAUAAUAAUAAUGAAGAUAUGGGAUCCACUUUUUUCUUUUACUCAAGCAUUGUCUUUGAGAAACGCCAAAUAAAAGACUCUAAAAUGUAUGUCUUGGCAUUGUUUUCUAGGCAUUUUAGUGUUAGUUUAUUUUGUGAUAACGGGAUUUUUUUUGUUAGGAUCAUCUAUAUAAUGUACACACAUGUUUGUGACUAAGUUUGAAACGUCUUAGGAACAAUGAAAUAGCCGGUGAGGAUAUUCGUUUAUGAAAAUGUGAUUCUCACUUGAUGUAUUUUCCCCAUGAUUAUAAGUAAAUAAGCGACAUAAACGAGCUCUCAAGUAUCUUAAAGAUUUCAAGUGUAAUAGGGUUGAAAAACCAAAACAGUUCACACUUGAGCUAUUUUUUGUGGCUUGUUGCACUUAAGAAGGUUUGGAGGUUUGUUAUUUGGAUACGUUUUUUUAUUAAAAUGUUAUUCUCUUUUUUGAUGGAUUUCCAGAUAAAUAAGCAAGAUGAAUGAGCUCGCAAGCAUCUCAAAGAUAUCAAAUGGAAUCAGGUUAAAGAACCAAAACGAUUCACGCUUGAUCUUUUCUUUGGCCAGAAUUCUUACUGCCAAAAAAGUGAAGAUUUUGAUUACAAAUUAUGUAAAGUUCGUAAGCUCACGAUUAUUGGUGAUUAACGAGUAGGUAGUUGUUGUGGCGAAGUUCUGGAUGACUGGAGAAACCACACAAGUCAUUUCACGAGUUUAAGGUAUGAAAUUGCGAACCACAUUUUAUUUUUCAGAUCAGUUCGACGAAGAAGACUUCUUUGCAAUUGACCUUCUGUGCGUAUUUUAAUAGAAGACUUCUAGGAAAGUCUUCUAACUUUCCUUUGUAAACAAAAAUUUUGAAAUUCUAAGAAGAAAUCUUCUCGGAAAAACAGGUUAGUUUAAAAUUUGACUGAAGUUCGUCAGAAAUUUGACUUUUUGUAGAAGACUUCUAAGGAGGUCUUCCUGGAGAAAACUGCUAUGAAGUCUUCCCUAAGUCUUCUCAAUGCCGGAAGAUGUCUAUAAGAAGACUUCUAAAGAAGUCUUUUCGAUUUUAAUUAUGGGUUUUGGUCAAACCUUUACCCGCAAGAGAAGACUUAUAGAGAAGUAAAUCUUCUCUCGAAAAGUCAAAUAUAGUCAAUUGCAAAAGUAACUCAGUAGACUUCUUGCAACUUUGAAAAGACUUCCGGAAGACUUAGAUAAGACUUCUUUUGAAGUAUUCUCCAGGUAAGACUUCCCUAGAAGUAUUCUAGAAAAAAUCAAAAUUCUGACCAACUUCGGUCAAAUUCAAAAGUCACCUCUUUUAAAGAAGUCUUCUCUGAAAAUUUUGAAAAAAAUUCAAUUUCAAAAGUAAGCCAAUAUUUACAAAGGAAGACUUCCGAAGAUGUCUUCUGUAGAAUAGACUUUUUAAGAAGUCUUCCUUCGUAAAUUUAGAAUUACAAAAAUGACCUAUUCAGAAGACUUCUUUUGAAGUCUACACAAGGUAGACUUAUUUUGAAGUCUUCCAUGAAUAACUUCAAAAGAAGUCUUCUACGUAAAUCUUUAUUAAACUUCAAAUUUAUCCAAAAUUAAAAUGAAUUUUUAAUAUUUUCUUGCUAAUUCAUGUUUAUUAGUCAAUAUUGGACUAUUGAGUCGAAUUCAUAACUUAAUUGGUGAUAAUUAUGAAGUUACAAACAUUGAUGUUUAAUAAUGUUUCUAGCUAAACGGAGAAGUCUUUUGUAAGUCUUCCUCAUAAGUGUUAACUUUCAAAAUUGUUAAGUAACUUCAAGAAUAUCAAGUCAUAUGGUUUAAUGUGUCCUUUUAGAUCAUAAGAUAUAAUUUUUAACAUACAUGAAGCAAAAAGAAUUUCAACUUUCACUUAAAAUUCAAGUUUGAUCUUUUGUGAAUUUGAUUAAUUUUUUUUUGUGAAGUCUUCUCUCUUAGUUUUAAUAAAUUUGACUAAGUUUUUGUUUUUUGUUUUGAGUGGGUAGAAUAGUUAAAAAAAUUCAUUUGAUUAACAUUUCUUUAAGUUUACAAAAGAAUUCACAACUAAAUAGUGAACAUACAAAUCAUAAAACAGACCAUAAACAAAACUAUUACACAUGAACUAGAUAUCAUUCCUCAACAUAGUAAGUUUGGUCUCCACUUGACAUCAUUCAUUUGUACCACUUUGGACAGAAGACUUUGGAAGACUUCCCGAAGAUUUCAUGGGAUGUCUUCUAGCAUAAAAUACAUUAGAAGAUUUCUCAAGAAGUCAGCCAAGAGUCUUCCAAGAGUUUCUGAGAGUCUUCCAAGAGUCUUCUAAGAAAUCUUCCAAAGUCUACCUCAUAUCUGAAAAAUCUGCAUAUUCAAAAGCAUUCAAAUGGCUUCAAACAGCUAAAUCUUCAAAAAUAAUUUUUUAUGCUUAAAUAAUAAAUAAAACAAUCAAAUUAGGUUAAAUCUAUAAUUUUUUAGAAUCUAAUAUAUAAAACACACAAUACAUAUCCAAAAUUUGUAUAACUUUGAGCAGAAAACUUUGGAAGACUUCAUGAAGACUUCGUGGGACGGCUUCUAGCAUAAAAUCCAUUAGAAAACUUCCCAAGAAGUCUUCCAAGAGUCCUCUGAGAAGUCUUCCAAAGUGUGAUUUAAAUCUGAAAAUUUUACAUAUUCAAAAGCAUUCAAAUAGCUUCAAAUAGAGAAAACUUCAAAAGCGUUUUUUUAUGCUUAAUAAUAAACAAAAAAUUCAAAAAAAACUCAACGACACAUACAUUGAGCCAGCUAAACAAAUACAAACUACAUGACCAACUAUUUAACAAUUUAGAAACUUACUUUCGAUGCUUACGAAGAAGACGAAGACGACAACCAAGAUCAGUGAAAUUACCUAAACAAAAAGUAGAGUAAGUUACAAACUCUGAUAAAUACAACUAACAAUGAUUUUUGUUUACAUUUUAUCCAUCAAAUAAAAUAGAAACAAAUACAACCACACCAGGAGAUACAAGAGACAAUCCCAACAGACACAAAAACAACAACAACAUCUCCACCUCCUCAUUCCCUUUGUCUUAUGAAAAUAACUUGCAUGUUCAAUGUAAACAGGCCAAUGCUAUUGUUUUCUUAUGGGCAAUACAUAUAUUCGUUUAAAACCUAUUAAGACCCAAAUACAAACUCAUUUUAUAAUUAUUUCUACAUGUCUUCAUUUGUUUUAAGGUUCAACAAAAGCAACAAGUUUAAAAAUAAAAUAAAAACAUAUAACCAACAUAAUAAGAAUAGAAAAAUUAUUACUUAAUA